Molecule: long non-coding RNA, 493 nt
Organism: Triticum aestivum (bread wheat)
Lineage: Eukaryota; Viridiplantae; Streptophyta; Magnoliopsida; Poales; Poaceae
Exons: 2
Source: RefSeq, a predicted model, not a curated record
UAGCUGUACAUAAAGAGAAUGGAAGCCGUGCUGCUCCAGAAGUAUCAGAUCAACCUGAUGAUGGGGAGGGUGACUGGUUGAAGAAACUUUCUGAUUUUGCUGGAUCCAUUGUCAACGGGGCAUCCAAGUGGCUGAAGGACAACCUGUAGCCCCUGUAAAUAUUCACCGCGCAAUGCAUUCUCUUCAACGCCAGUUAUGGUGUUAUCUUAUCUGCAAUUCUUCAAUCCAUCAGGAUUCGACGAGCUGUUGCAUGCAUGUGUUCUGUUGGAGAGGCUCAUCUUUUACGGCAGUGAAGUGGCAACGGAGAGGUUUAGUGUCAACUAAUUUUAUUGACGCCAUAUUUAUUUUGUUUUGAGAUACCCUUGUAAAGCAUGAAUUUUGCUGUAGACGCACUCAUAUUUCCUAGAGCAUGUAACAGUCGUCUGAUUCACGGCCGCUGAUAUCAAGCUCGAUGAAGCUUACAUUCUUUGUAAAUACAUAUCUUUUUCCAGUA